GGAGGGCGGUACAGUCCUGGGAGCGCCGAGGAGCCCCGCCCAAGCUCUGCAGUCUGCAAGGGGACGUAAAGUGCUGCGCGCAUGCGCCGCCGGGGCGCGGCGGGACGAGAGGAGCAAAAUAUUCCUCCGUGGGAUUAAGAAGUCUUUUCCACAUUGCAUUGUAAUGCUCCCUGUUCUUGGUCUUCUUUUCCAUGUACUCAUUCUUCAAGCAUUUUCUCAUCUCCCAACUGAGGUCACUGUAACGACCAAAAAUUUUCAGAAUGCCGGGGCACAAUGCUGUGGUAUUCGUGACAUUCCUUAAGCAAGUUUAUCAAGGCAUUAGAUUCUUCAGUGUGCAAGGGUGAAGAUAAAUCAGGAUGCAUGUUUAGGAGGUGAUGGAGCACAGCAGAGCAACCUGACUCAUGGGCACAGUACCCAGGCCAGUUCCAGGUGGCAAAGGCUCCUGUGCUUUCCACAGCUGACUCUGCUGGGCUUGGCCAGGCCCCGUUGCUCUCACAGACUUUUUCAUAUUUAUAAAGAAAUGGUGGAUUUCUGCAAAAUCUAAUUUGUUUCAUACCACAGUGUAUUUUCAUUUACUACCUAAUACCAAUAUAUACUAUACCUCUUAAAACUCUUUUCCCAUUUCUGAGCAUA
This is a long non-coding RNA of Lutra lutra (Eurasian river otter), 633 nucleotides long. RefSeq lists it as uncharacterized. The record is from RefSeq and is a predicted model, not a curated record. NCBI's taxonomy places the organism in Eukaryota, Metazoa, Chordata, Mammalia, Carnivora, Mustelidae. The transcript is spliced from 3 exons.